CUUUAAUCAUAUACAACAGCACUUCAGAAAGCUGGGGAUCUUCAUUCAGGUUGACAAGGUUUGGUAAACGAUUGUCCAUUUUGAAUGCAAUUCCUGCUUUCUGCAAUUCUUUUAUAUCUUCUAGUUUUCUUUUUUCUGCUUGUUCAAGUUUUGCUUUCCAAGCCCUCUGCAUUUCUGUCAUGUCCCUUUCCUGCCGGUGCAGUUUUAUUCUCAGAGAUGUUAUUUCUUG
This 229-nucleotide long non-coding RNA is filed under the name Gallus gallus (chicken). The record is from RNAcentral. Lineage: Eukaryota; Metazoa; Chordata; Aves; Galliformes; Phasianidae.